GGAGAGAUGCCCGAGUUGGCCGAAGGGGCACGACUGGAAAUCGUGUGUUCCGGUAGCCCCGGAACCGUGGGUUCGAAUCCCACUCUCUCCGCCA
This 94-nucleotide transfer RNA is filed under the name Deltaproteobacteria bacterium. RNAcentral's name for it is "tRNA-Ser". It matches the Rfam family "tRNA". From Rfam's summary of the family: Transfer RNA (tRNA) molecules are approximately 80 nucleotides in length. The record is from RNAcentral. Lineage: Bacteria; Pseudomonadati; Myxococcota; Myxococcia.